This is a non-coding RNA of Phrynosoma platyrhinos (Desert horned lizard), 71 nucleotides long. NCBI's taxonomy places the organism in Eukaryota, Metazoa, Chordata, Lepidosauria, Squamata, Phrynosomatidae. The record is from the annotation of a GenBank genome assembly.
GCCAGCGUGGUUUAGUGAUUUGAGCACUGGAUAGGACUCUGGAGACAAGGGUUCAAAUCCCUGCUUUGUCA